AUUGCUCUCAUUCCUAAAAAGCUUGUUCCUCAAGUGCCUAUGGACUACCGACCUAUUAGUCUUUGUAAUGUUGUUUAUAAGAUCAUUGCCAAAUCUCUUGCCAACAGGAUUAAGCCUCACCUUCCUAGUUAUAUAAAUCCUGCUCAACAAGCUUUUAUCGAGGGUAGG
Molecule: ribosomal RNA, 168 nt
Filed under: Triticum aestivum (bread wheat)
Lineage: Eukaryota; Viridiplantae; Streptophyta; Magnoliopsida; Poales; Poaceae
Description: partial small subunit ribosomal RNA
Source: RNAcentral